CAGCAGCCGCGGUAAGACAGAGGAUGCAGGCGUUAUCCGGAAUGAUUGGGCGUAAAGCGUCUGUAGGUGGCUUUUCAAGUCCGCUGUCAAAUCCCAGGGCUCAACCCUGGACAGGCGGUGGAAACUACCAAGCUAGAGUACGGUAGGGGCAGAGGGAAUUUCCAGUGGAGCGGUGAAAUGCGUUGAGAUCGGAAAGAACACCAACGGCGAAAGCACUCUGCUGGGCCGACACUGACACUGAGAGACGAAAGCUAGGGGAGCAAAUGGGAUUAGAUACCCCCGUAGUCCCUGUCUCUUAUAC
RNAcentral lists this ribosomal RNA (301 nucleotides) under uncultured bacterium. RNAcentral describes it as "partial 16S ribosomal RNA". It matches the Rfam family "Bacterial small subunit ribosomal RNA", at positions 509 to 807 of the family's 1533-position model. The record is from RNAcentral.